UCUAUCUGCGAGAUUAUGGGGUCCGGGGUCGACAUAAGAUUCAUGACCUGUGGAGCUCUACUGUAUAUCAGGUGGUAAAAGCCCCUCUGUCUGGUGGUUCAGUGUAUACAGUGGCUCCGGUUAACGACCUGACUCAAGUCCGGCAUGUCCAUCGGUCAGCAUUGAAACCUCGAGUCCAAGGGGAGGCAGUAGCGGAGGACCUCUCCGAAAGUUCAGUCGAUUCACCCGUGCCCUCAGAACCUGAGGAAGAAUUGGAAGAUGGGGACUUGGCAUAUGUGGUUUCCGAGGUCCCAUCGUCAGCUCCUGGAGGGAGCACCUUGAGACCAGAUCUAUCUGGAACAGUGCUGGUUGAUCCCCCAGCACCCACAGAAGCAUCCCAUGGGGAGUUGGUAUCUGAAGAGAGAACCCUCCCCUUGGAGUCUCCUAAUCCAUUAGAGGUGGUUCCACGCCGGACGGAACGAGUAGGGGCAGGUCAACAUUCUAAUGUGCACCGUUUACCACGGACAAUAGGAGCUGGAAAUGUGAAUCCUCCAGCCUGUGGGGCCAAUGCAGUUAUGGCAUGGUUUAGGCCUUGGAACUAGGGUCUCGUGUUUAAAUAUUUCACCGUCGGGACGACGAUGAAGAAGGGGGGAGUAGAAUGUAGCAGUACGAUCUGCCCUCCCCUGAUGUCAUCUAGUAAAUUGAGGGCGUGUCUGGUUAGGGUUGUUUAUCUGCCUAUAAAAUUGUUUCCGUUUGUGCUAUGUGUGUGCGUUCGUCCGGUGUAAGCGAGCGAGUCACCGUACUUCCGGGCUUUUGUGUGCAUGGUGACGAGGUAGGAGCGUUUGCAGUGAGUGUUUUGAAAUGCUGAUGGUCUUGCACUGGCUUUACGAACCGAUUUUACUUAGGUGGACUGAGGAGCUUUUCGGGAAGUCCUUUAAUCGUGGUCCGUUAUGGAGACAGUCGUUUUGUACAGCUACAUCUGUGCUUCAUGAGUCGCAGUACAGGUGCGGGUCAACGUGCAAGGGACGUCGCAGUGGGCUGCUGUAGUGGGCUUGUCGUUUGCUGGGUGGCUUUUCUGCACUGUGCAUCGUUUAAUAGUUUUUAUGUUUCGCCGACUAACUGUUACCUGUUCUAUCCAACUACGGCUGCUUCACGCUGUGUCUAAUUUGUUUGCUUCGUUUUGCUCAGCUGCACGUCUCAUUCCAUACAUUUGGUCUUUGGAACUACGCUCUUCCAUCUGCUUUCAUGCGGCUGCAUUAACAGCGGAUUUAUAUUGACGUUAAUAUAACGUUGUCGGGUGACGAAUGUGUAUUGCUGCAUCAACUGAGAACUUGCAGGGUCAGCUGGUCUGCGGUCUGGACUCGGGGUAUGGCGUUUAUUUCCCACCAGUAAUGUGAGUAACUGAUGGAAACGUGGCGUGCAACAGGGUAAUUGCUAUCUAACUGUCACUAGCAUUGUUCUCUUCCGUCUGGGGUUAUUGUGUUCGAUGUAAUUGUGUAUUUUGUAUUAUUCUCCUUUGUUUAUUAUAAUUUUUCAUGAUUUCAUUUUUUUUUUUUUUUGUUAUUUGUUUGACUUUGUAGUAUGUCUUUUGGUUCUUGAUCAAUCCAGUGGAUUUAUUAUUAUUAUUAUAUUAUUGUUGUUCUUUUUGUGUACCUGUGUUUGGUGGUUCUUUGUACCAGCGUUCUGCUUCUUUCUGUCUGCUGGUAACCCAGUAGCUGGGCCACUUUAUGGAACCAGUAGUUUUGGAUGUGACUGUUGAGAACCAGGUUGCUGUAUGUGAUGCUUGUUUUAAUUUAUGUGUUUUCGAACUGUGAUUCUGUUUCUUUUCCCUUCAGCAGUGGGGUGGCCGCCGGCAGCAGUGUAGCCUCUUGUGGUGGUGGCCCCUUUACCUAUUUGCAGUGAUCACAGUGGAGUGUGCCGUGCUGGGGUGUGUGUGUGUGUGUGUGCACGCGUGAAUGCUAUCUCCUCUGCUCAAAGGAUGCCAGGCCUUCCCCCUCCUUGAAGUGGGACGUUUUGUUGUUUCUAAUUAUUUGAUAUAGUGUAUAAAAUUUGAAUCAAUUUCAAAUAAAGUUGUCUUAACUUAA
Long non-coding RNA from Carassius carassius (crucian carp), 2063 nucleotides. RefSeq lists it as uncharacterized. Lineage: Eukaryota; Metazoa; Chordata; Actinopteri; Cypriniformes; Cyprinidae. The transcript has 2 exons. The record is from RefSeq and is a predicted model, not a curated record.